This is an RNA transcript of Podarcis raffonei (Aeolian wall lizard), 2053 nucleotides long. It is a transcript of the gene named mitogen-activated protein kinase kinase 5, with no coding region annotated. The record is from RefSeq and is a predicted model, not a curated record. The transcript is spliced from 24 exons. NCBI's taxonomy places the organism in Eukaryota, Metazoa, Chordata, Lepidosauria, Squamata, Lacertidae.
UGGGGGGAGAGAGAAAGAGUCAUUCCGCGGGGCAUCGGAGCCUCCAGCCCUUGAAGGGAAAAGGGCUGCUGUGGCGCCGGCGGGGGCGAGGCCCGGCUUAGGAGGCCGUCCCCGUUGCGGCGAAGGGGGCCUUCCUUCCCUGGCGAACUCCUGCCCGGCUGCCCCCUUCCCCGGCGCAGCGGCGGCUGCACCAUCGCCGGCGCCUCCCCUCAGCUUUCCCAGCCUUCCUCUCCGCGACGAAGGCGCCCGCCUGGGCCUAGCCGCGCCUGGGGGGAAUCCCGCCCGGCUCCGUCUUCCUGCCUUCCUCUCAGGCCCGCCUCGGCCUAGUCCGGGCAAGCCAUGUGAGCGAGUCUCCCUCGCCCGCUGCGUCUCCCUCGGCCCCGGCGGCUGCUCCGGGGAUGCUCUUACUGGCCGUGGGCGACGCCGACGCCGCCUCAGCCGCCGGCCCCAGCCCCGCCAUGGAGCCCCCCAACCCGGCGCUGGUCAUCCGCAUCCGCGUCCCGGACGGCGGCGCCGUGGACUGGACGGUCCACCCGGCGCCUCAGCUGCUCUUCAGGGACGUCCUGGAUGUGAUCAGUCAGGUUCUGCCUGAUGCGACGACAACAGCCUUUGAAUAUGAAGAUGAGGACGGUGAUAGGAUUACUGUUCGAAGUGAUGAAGAAAUGAAAGCGAUGCUGUCCUAUUAUUACACCACAGUCAUGGAACAGGAAGUAAAUGGACAGUUAAUAGUGCCUCUGCAGAUCUAUCCAAGAGCCUGCAAACCUCCAGGGAAACGGAACAUACAUGGCCUGAAGGUAAAUACGCGAGCAGGGUCUGCUAACAAUAGUGGCGCAGCCGUCCCGGACUCCCUUCCAAGCAAUAGAUUGUGCAGUUUGAAGAAGUCUUCUGCAGAACUGAAGAAAAUAUUAGCUAAUGGCCAGAUGAAUGAACAAGACAUACGGUAUCGAGACAUCCUCGGUCAUGGCAAUGGAGGAACCGUCUACAAAGCAAACCAUGUCCCCAGUGGGAAAAUACUAGCCGUAAAGGUGAUCCCUUUAGAUAUUACACUGGAACUUCAAAAGCAGAUUAUGUCGGAGUUAGAAAUUCUUUACAAGUGUGAUUCGUCCUAUAUCAUAGGAUUUUACGGUGCUUUUUUUGUAGAAAACAGGAUUUCCCUUUGUACUGAAUUCAUGGAUGGGGGCUCUUUGGAUGUCUACAGAAAAAUUCCAGAACACGUACUGGGAAGAAUAGCCGUAGCAGUUGUUAAAGGCCUUACAUAUUUAUGGAGUUUAAAAAUUUUACAUAGAGAUGUGAAGCCCUCAAAUAUGUUGGUGAACACAAGAGGCCAAGUCAAGUUAUGUGACUUUGGGGUCAGCACACAGCUGGUGAAUUCCAUAGCCAAGACGUAUGUCGGGACAAAUGCUUAUAUGGCGCCAGAACGCAUUUCAGGAGAGCAGUAUGGGAUUCAUUCUGAUGUUUGGAGCCUAGGGAUUUCCUUCAUGGAGCUUGCUCUCGGGAGGUUCCCGUAUCCUCAGGGGUGGACGCUGAACAUCAGAGAACAUGGUGAGCCAAGUGAGUUCGUGGUACAGAUUCAGAAAAACCAGGGAUCUUUAAUGCCCCUCCAGUUACUCCAGUGCAUUGUUGAUGAGGAAUCGCCUGUCCUUCCGGUUGGGGAGUUCUCAGAGCCGUUUGUACACUUCAUCACUCAAUGCAUGAGAAAGCAGCCAAAGGAACGCCCAGCCCCUGAAGAGUUAAUGAUUAGUCCCUUCUAUAAAAAUAUUGAAGAUGCAAAAAAGAAAGAAAGAUACUAACCUACAGUGUAAUAAAUGCAAAAAUACAGAAAGGAAAGCAUUUCGAAUAACUGUCAAUAAGAAUAAAAGCAGCAGCAGCAACCUUGAAUAAAGCCAACUCUCAUCCAACACCAGACGCCAAGAAAAGCUGUUGCAUAUGAAAAUGUUUUAUCCCAUGGGCCAAAGCCAUGCCAGGGCCACCUCUUCAUCGUCCAGUACAAUGACGGGAAUGCUGAGGUCGUCUCCAUGUGGGUCUGCCGGAUGUUAGAGGAGAGGCGUUCACA